Molecule: non-coding RNA, 280 nt
Filed under: Anolis carolinensis (green anole)
Lineage: Eukaryota; Metazoa; Chordata; Lepidosauria; Squamata; Anolidae
Description: Eukaryotic small subunit ribosomal RNA
Rfam family: Eukaryotic small subunit ribosomal RNA
Source: Rfam by way of RNAcentral
AAUUAAAGGAACACGGGAAACCUCACCUGUCCCAGACAUGGAAAGUAUUGGCAGAUCGAUAGCUCUUUCUCGAUUCUGUGGGUGGUGGUGCAUGGCCAUUCUUAGUUGAUGGAGCAAUUUGUCUGGUUAAUUCUGAUAAUGAACGAGACUCUGGCAUGCUGACUAGUUAUGCAUCCCCCAAAUGGUUGGCGUCCAAAUUCUUAGAGGGACAAGUGGUGUUCAGCCACUUAAGAUUGAGCAAUAACAGGUCUGUGAUACCCUUAGAUAUUAGUUUGGGGAC